This 161-nucleotide ribosomal RNA is filed under the name Phylloporus sp. NC-7286/1. RNAcentral describes it as "5.8S ribosomal RNA". It matches the Rfam family "5.8S ribosomal RNA". Rfam says of the family: 5.8S ribosomal RNA (5.8S rRNA) is a component of the large subunit of the eukaryotic ribosome. It is transcribed by RNA polymerase I as part of the 45S precursor that also contains 18S and 28S rRNA. The record is from RNAcentral. Lineage: Eukaryota; Fungi; Basidiomycota; Agaricomycetes; Boletales; Boletaceae.
UACAACUUUCAGCAACGGAUCUCUUGGCUCUCGCAUCGAUGAAGAACGCAGCGAAUUGCGAUAAGUAAUGAGAAUUGCAGAUUUCCAGUGAAUCAUCGAAUCUUUGAACGCAUCUUGCGCUCCUUGGUAUUCCGAGGAGCAUGCCUGUUUGAGUGUCAUUG